GUAUUGUAUAUCAUAAAUUUACAUUGUUGUUUAUCAUUGAAUGACAUCAAUUGUUCAUCACAGUGUAUAGUGUGUACCUAAUGUUUACUAUUUUAGGCCAAACCAUAAAGACAUAAAGUUCUGUUUCAGGCAAGUCUGUCGAUUCAAUUUUUUUCUUCUGACCCCGGCCAGUUGUACGAUAUCCACUGAAUAGUCUUUAUAGUAAUUUUUUCAACUGUUGAAAAAUUAAAAAUAUAAAAAUAAACGUUCU
Paramuricea clavata is the source of this 250-nucleotide non-coding RNA. NCBI's taxonomy places the organism in Eukaryota, Metazoa, Cnidaria, Anthozoa, Malacalcyonacea, Plexauridae. The record is from the annotation of a GenBank genome assembly.